Silurus meridionalis is the source of this 573-nucleotide non-coding RNA. The record is from the annotation of a RefSeq genome assembly. NCBI's taxonomy places the organism in Eukaryota, Metazoa, Chordata, Actinopteri, Siluriformes, Siluridae.
AUGGUAUAUGAAGCAGCAUCAUUGUUUGAUGUGAUCGCUUUCACUAAUAAUGUAUCACUGUGGUACACUUUUGGUGGAGGAACAAAACUCAGCAUCAAGGGUCCCACUGUGAAGCCCUCCGUGUCUCUGCUCCAUCCAUCGUCUCUGCAGCUCUCUGAGGGACCGGCCUCACUGCUCUGCCUGCUGUCUGCCUACUCUCCACAGGGGGCGACGGUGAGCUGGACAGUGGACGGCUCAGUGGUGAACGAAGGAGUUCUAACCAGUCCUGAAGAACAGAAGAAGGACGGUUACACACGCAGCAGCACCCUGACCCUCAGCAAAGCGCUCUGGGAAAAGGGGGAGGAGUUUGUCUGUACCGUCUCCCAUGACAGUGUCAAUCAUCCGGUCACAUUCAGAAAGAGCCAGUGUGAAGACUAACAGCUCCAAGAUAGAAUUAAACACUGAGCUGCUCACACAUCCAUCUACAAUAGAGUUUCAAUUCUACACAAUGCUGAUAUUCCUGUCUUUACUCUCUUCACUGUCCUGUUGCUCUUCCUGUAGUUUUGCUCUGCUGAAAUAAAGCUUCAUUUUGGA